UGCCUGAUGGAGGGGGAUAACUACUGGAAACGGUAGCUAAUACCGCAUAACGUCGCAAGACCAAAGAGGGGGACCUUCGGGCCUCUUGCCAUCGGAUGUGCCCAGAUGGGAUUAGCUUGUUGGUGGGGUAACGGCUCACCAAGGCGACGAUCCCUAGCUGGUCUGAGAGGAUGACCAGCCACACUGGAACUGAGACACGGUCCAGACUCCUACGGGAGGCAGCAGUGGGGAAUAUUGCACAAUGGGCGCAAGCCUGAUGCAGCCAUGCCGCGUGUAUGAAGAAGGCCUUCGGGUUGUAAAGUACUUUCAGCGGGGAGGAAGGGAGUAAAGUUAAUACCUUUGCUCAUUGACGUUACCCGCAGAAGAAGCACCGGCUAACUCCGUGCCAGCAGCCGCGGUAAUACGGAGGGUGCAAGCGUUAAUCGGAAUUACUGGGCGUAAAGCGCACGCAGGCGGUUUGUUAAGUCAGAUGUGAAAUCC
RNAcentral lists this ribosomal RNA (480 nucleotides) under Escherichia coli. Its description in RNAcentral is "bacterial SSU rRNA". It matches the Rfam family "Bacterial small subunit ribosomal RNA", at positions 127 to 602 of the family's 1533-position model. The record is from RNAcentral. Lineage: Bacteria; Pseudomonadati; Pseudomonadota; Gammaproteobacteria; Enterobacterales; Enterobacteriaceae.